GAUUAAGUUAUUAAGGGCGCACGGUGGAUGCCUUGGCACUAGAAGCCGAUGAAGGACGUUACUAACGACGAUAUGCUUUGGGGAGCUGUAAGUAAGCUUUGAUCCAGAGAUUUCCGAAUGGGGAAACCCAGCAUGAGUUAUGUCAUGUUAUCGAUAUGUGAAUACAUAGCAUAUCAGAAGGCACACCCGGAGAACUGAAACAUCUUAGUACCCGGAGGAAGAGAAAGAAAAUUCGAUUCCCUUAGUAGCGGCGAGCGAAACGGGAAGAGCCCAAACCAACAAGCUUGCUUGUUGGGGUUGUAGGACACUCUAUACGGAGUUACAAAGGACGACAUUAGACGAAUCAUCUGGAAAGAUGAAUCAAAGAAGGUAAUAAUCCUGUAGUCGAAAAUGUUGUCUCUCUUGAGUGGAUCCUGAGUACGACGGAGCACGUGAAAUUCCGUCGGAAUCUGGGAGGACCAUCUCCUAAGGCUAAAUACUCUCUAGUGACCGAUAGUGAACCAGUACCGUGAGGGAAAGGUGAAAAGCACCCCGGAAGGGGAGUGAAAUAGAACCUGAAACCGUGUGCUUACAAGUAGUCAGAGCCCGUUAAUGGGUGAUGGCGUGCCUUUUGUAGAAUGAACCGGCGAGUUACGAUUUGAUGCAAGGUUAAGCAGUAAAUGUGGAGCCGUAGCGAAAGCGAGUCUGAAUAGGGCGUUUAGUAUUUGGUCGUAGACCCGAAACCAGGUGAUCUACCCUUGGUCAGGUUGAAGUUCAGGUAACACUGAAUGGAGGACCGAACCGACUUACGUUGAAAAGUGAGCGGAUGAACUGAGGGUAGCGGAGAAAUUCCAAUCGAACCUGGAGAUAGCUGGUUCUCUCCGAAAUAGCUUUAGGGCUAGCCUCAAGUGAUGAUUAUUGGAGGUAGAGCACUGUUUGGACGAGGGGCCCUCUCGGGUUACCGAAUUCAGACAAACUCCGAAUGCCAAUUAAUUUAACUUGGGAGUCAGAACAUGGGUGAUAAGGUCCGUGUUCGAAAGGGAAACAGCCCAGACCACCAGCUAAGGUCCCAAAAUAUAUGUUAAGUGGAAAAGGAUGUGGCGUUGCCCAGACAACUGGGAUGUUGGCUUAGAAGCAGCCAUCAUUUAAAGAGUGCGUAAUAGCUCACUAGUCGAGUGACACUGCGCCGAAAAUGUACCGGGGCUAAACAUAUUACCGAAGCUGUGGAUUGUCCUUUGGACAAUGGUAGGAGAGCGUUCUAAGGGCGUUGAAGCAUGAUCGUAAGGACAUGUGGAGCGCUUAGAAGUGAGAAUGCCGGUGUGAGUAGCGAAAGACGGGUGAGAAUCCCGUCCACCGAUUGACUAAGGUUUCCAGAGGAAGGCUCGUCCGCUCUGGGUUAGUCGGGUCCUAAGCUGAGGCCGACAGGCGUAGGCGAUGGAUAACAGGUUGAUAUUCCUGUACCACCUAUAAUCGUUUUAAUCGAUGGGGGGACGCAGUAGGAUAGGCGAAGCGUGCGAUUGGAUUGCACGUCUAAGCAGUAAGGCUGAGUAUUAGGCAAAUCCGGUACUCGUUAAGGCUGAGCUGUGAUGGGGAGAAGACAUUGUGUCUUCGAGUCGUUGAUUUCACACUGCCGAGAAAAGCCUCUAGAUAGAAAAUAGGUGCCCGUACCGCAAACCGACACAGGUAGUCAAGAUGAGAAUUCUAAGGUGAGCGAGCGAACUCUCGUUAAGGAACUCGGCAAAAUGACCCCGUAACUUCGGGAGAAGGGGUGCUCUUUAGGGUUAACGCCCAGAAGAGCCGCAGUGAAUAGGCCCAAGCGACUGUUUAUCAAAAACACAGGUCUCUGCUAAACCGUAAGGUGAUGUAUAGGGGCUGACGCCUGCCCAGUGCUGGAAGGUUAAGAGGAGUGGUUAGCUUCUGCGAAGCUACGAAUCGAAGCCCCAGUAAACGGCGGCCGUAACUAUAACGGUCCUAAGGUAGCGAAAUUCCUUGUCGGGUAAGUUCCGACCCGCACGAAAGGCGUAACGAUUUGGGCACUGUCUCAACGAGAGACUCGGUGAAAUCAUAGUACCUGUGAAGAUGCAGGUUACCCGCGACAGGACGGAAAGACCCCGUGGAGCUUUACUGUAGCCUGAUAUUGAAAUUCGGCACAGCUUGUACAGGAUAGGUAGGAGCCUUUGAAACGUGAGCGCUAGCUUACGUGGAGGCGCUGGUGGGAUACUACCCUAGCUGUGUUGGCUUUCUAACCCGCACCACUUAUCGUGGUGGGAGACAGUGUCAGGCGGGCAGUUUGACUGGGGCGGUCGCCUCCUAAAAGGUAACGGAGGCGCUCAAAGGUUCCCUCAGAAUGGUUGGAAAUCAUUCAUAGAGUGUAAAGGCAUAAGGGAGCUUGACUGCGAGACCUACAAGUCGAGCAGGGUCGAAAGACGGACUUAGUGAUCCGGUGGUUCCGCAUGGAAGGGCCAUCGCUCAACGGAUAAAAGCUACCCCGGGGAUAACAGGCUUAUCUCCCCCAAGAGUUCACAUCGACGGGGAGGUUUGGCACCUCGAUGUCGGCUCAUCGCAUCCUGGGGCUGUAGUCGGUCCCAAGGGUUGGGCUGUUCGCCCAUUAAAGCGGUACGCGAGCUGGGUUCAGAACGUCGUGAGACAGUUCGGUCCCUAUCCGUCGUGGGCGUAGGAAAUUUGAGAGGAGCUGUCCUUAGUACGAGAGGACCGGGAUGGACAUACCUCUGGUGUACCAGUUGUCGUGCCAACGGCAUAGCUGGGUAGCUAUGUGUGGACGGGAUAAGUGCUGAAAGCAUCUAAGCAUGAAGCCCCCCUCAAGAUGAGAUUUCCCAACUUCGGUUAUAAGAUCCCUCAAAGAUGAUGAGGUUAAUAGGUUCGAGGUGGAAGCAUGGUGACAUGUGGAGCUGACGAAUACUAAUCGAUCGAAGACUUAAU
Molecule: ribosomal RNA, 2919 nt
Filed under: Staphylococcus aureus
Lineage: Bacteria; Bacillati; Bacillota; Bacilli; Caryophanales; Staphylococcaceae
Description: 23S ribosomal RNA from Staphylococcus aureus (PDB 5T7V, chain B)
Rfam family: Bacterial large subunit ribosomal RNA
Source: RNAcentral